GACGAACGCUGGCGGCGCGCUUAACACAUGCCAGUCGAACGGAAAGGCCUGCUUUCCCUUGUGGAUUGCGGGUACUCGAGUGGCGAACGGGUGAGUAACACGUGAGUGAUCUGCCCCCAACUUGGGUAUAAGCCUGGGAAACUGGGUCUAAUUCCCGAUAGGACUGCAGGGUGGUGCCUGUGGUGGAAAACGAUUUUCUAGUGGUUGGGGAUGAGCUCGCGGCCUAUCAGCUUGUUGGUGGGGUAAUGGCCUACCAAGGCGGCGACGGGUAGCCGGCCUGAGAGGGUGGACGGCCACAUUGGGACUGAGAUACGGCCCCGACUCCUACGGGAGGCAGCAGUGGGGAAUAUUGCACAAUGGGCGGAAGCCUGAUGCAGCGACGCCGCGUGGGGGAUGACGGCCUUCGGGUUGUAAGCUCCUUUCGACCGCGAGGAAGCCACCUGGUUGGAAGGGUGGUGACGGUAGUGGUAGAAGAAGCACCGGCUAACUACGUG
RNAcentral lists this ribosomal RNA (494 nucleotides) under uncultured bacterium. RNAcentral's name for it is "partial 16S ribosomal RNA". It matches the Rfam family "Bacterial small subunit ribosomal RNA", at positions 28 to 507 of the family's 1533-position model. The record is from RNAcentral.